Molecule: long non-coding RNA, 540 nt
Filed under: Ananas comosus (pineapple)
Lineage: Eukaryota; Viridiplantae; Streptophyta; Magnoliopsida; Poales; Bromeliaceae
Description: long non-coding RNA (ACOM_LNC028240)
Source: RNAcentral
CUCAGAAUCUGAUACUUUUCGCCGGAGCCCUUCUAAAUGUCUGUUUUCGCUCAAAUUUGACAAUCAAGCUCGGUUUAACUUAAUAAGAAUAAAAAAAUUUUAAUCUUUCAGUUUUGACCCUUUUUGGUCACCGAAAGCUCUACUAACUAAUAUUUUAAUAGAUAGCUUAUUUUUCACUUUCCAGGUGUCAGAAUGGUAUGAAACUUUAAAUCUAGCCUCAUAAAAAUAAUCCUGAUAUUUUUCUAGAUUUUCAUAAUUUUCUGACACUGUGCAUUUUCUGCUAAAAUAUCAGCCCCGUUUCUUACAGAAAAUUCUAAAUCUUCUGUUUUCGCUCCGAUUUCGGCACGAGUCAUUCCAGACUAACUUGGGUACUCCAUAAAUUAUCUCCAAGCCUCGCUUUAAUUCUUUUAAUCAAAGUUAGCGUUAGAAUUCCGAAAAUUCUCUUUACAUUUCGUUUCGCGCCCAAUUUGCGCCGAAACACUUAUUUAUCAUCAGAAUUCAUCCUCACGCGUCCAAAAUCACUCGGGGAAGAUAUUCAAC